This 237-nucleotide ribosomal RNA is filed under the name uncultured bacterium. RNAcentral describes it as "partial 16S ribosomal RNA". It matches the Rfam family "Bacterial small subunit ribosomal RNA", at positions 96 to 334 of the family's 1533-position model. The record is from RNAcentral.
CGGCGGACGGGUGAGUAACGCGUGGGUAACCUGCCUCAUACAGGGGGAUAACAGUUAGAAAUGACUGCUAAUACCGCAUAAGACCACGGUACCGCAUGGUACAGUGGUAAAAACUCCGGUGGUAUGAGAUGGACCCGCGUCUGAUUAGGUAGUUGGUGGGUAACGGCCUACCAAGCCGACGAUCAGUAGCCGACCUGAGAGGGUGACCGGCCACAUUGGGACUGAGACACGGCCCAG